RNAcentral lists this transfer RNA (67 nucleotides) under Aplomya sp. RNAcentral's name for it is "tRNA-Pro". Lineage: Eukaryota; Metazoa; Arthropoda; Insecta; Diptera; Tachinidae. The record is from RNAcentral.
CAAGAAAUAGUUUAAAUAAAAUAUUAAUUUUGGAGAUUAAUGAUAAAAAAAAAUUUUUUUUUCUUGA